UACAGAGGAGGCAAGCGUUGAUCGGAAUCAUUGGGCUUAAAGCGCGUGUAGGCGGUCUCGUAAGUGUUGCGUGAAAUCCCACGGCUCAACCGUGGAACUGCGCGGCAUACUGCGGGACUUGAGGUCGGUAGAGGUGCCUGGAACUCUAGGUGGAGCGGUGAAAUGCGUAGAUAUCUAGAGGAACGCCGGAGGCGAAAGCGGGGCACUGGGCCGAUUCUGACGCUGAGACGCGAAAGCGUGGGGAGCAAAC
Molecule: ribosomal RNA, 250 nt
Filed under: uncultured bacterium
Lineage: Bacteria
Description: partial 16S ribosomal RNA
Rfam family: Bacterial small subunit ribosomal RNA
Source: RNAcentral